This 455-nucleotide ribosomal RNA is filed under the name bacterium Fw70s-1. RNAcentral's name for it is "bacterial SSU rRNA". It matches the Rfam family "Bacterial small subunit ribosomal RNA", at positions 28 to 494 of the family's 1533-position model. RNAcentral also lists the same sequence under 1 other name. The record is from RNAcentral.
GACGAACGCUGGCGGCGUGCUUAACACAUGCAAGUCGAACGAUGAAGCUGGAGCUUGCUCCGGUGGAUUAGUGGCGAACGGGUGAGUAACACGUGAGCAAUCUGCCCUUGACUCUGGGAUAACUGCGGGAAACUGUAGCUAAUACCGGAUACUUUCCUUGGUGGGCAUCCACUGGGGAAGAAAGAAUUUCGGUCAAGGAUGAGCUCGCGGCCUAUCAGCUAGUUGGUGAGGUAAUGGCUCACCAAGGCGACGACGGGUAGCCGGCCUGAGAGGGUGACCGGCCACACUGGAACUGAGACACGGUCCAGACUCCUACGGGAGGCAGCAGUGGGGAAUAUUGCACAAUGGGCGAAAGCCUGAUGCAGCAACGCCGCGUGAGGGACGAAGGCCUUCGGGUUGUAAACCUCUUUUAGCAGGGAAGAAGCGAAAGUGACGGUACCUGCAGAAAAAGCACG